Molecule: ribosomal RNA, 773 nt
Filed under: uncultured Neocallimastigales
Lineage: Eukaryota; Fungi; Neocallimastigomycota; Neocallimastigomycetes; Neocallimastigales
Description: partial large subunit ribosomal RNA
Rfam family: Eukaryotic large subunit ribosomal RNA
Source: RNAcentral
GUACACGCUGUGACUAGCAUAUCAAUAAGCGGAGGAAAAGAAACUAACAAGGAUCCCCUAGUAACGGCGAGUGAAGCGGGAAGAGCUCAAAUUUGAAAUCUUAAAGGGUUUCCCUUUACGAAUUGUAGUUUAAAGAAGUGUUUUCUGUUGAGGUUUUGGUAAAAGUUCUUUGGAAUAGGACAUCAUAGAGGGUGAGAAUCCCGUAUUUGACCUUUACUUUCAACUUUGUGAUACACUUUCAAAGAGUCGGAUUGUUUGGGAAUGCAGUCCAAAAUGGGUGGUAAAUUUCAUCUAAAGCUAAAUAUUGGCGAGAGACCGAUAGCGAACAAGUACCGUGAGGGAAAGAUGAAAAGAACUUUGAAAAGAGAGUUAAACAGUACGUGAAAUUGUCAAAAGGGAAGCGUUUGACACCAGUGUUGUUUUUCUGAAAAUCAAUUAAAGAACUGUUUAUGCUAAGUUGUUUAGACUUUAUCAGCUAUCUGUUUAGUUUUGAGCUUUUCUUUAAUGCACUUUUCAGUUAACAAGUCAACAUCAAUUUCUUUUGCUGUAAAAAAGCUUGAGGAGGGUGGCUUGAGAUUCGUCUUAAGUGUUUAUAGCCUCUUGCCUAUGCAGUCGGAGAGAUUGAGGUCUGCAGCGUAGAUCCUUCGGGGCUAAAUGCAUUUGUGCUAAGUUAUAGCAUUUUAUAGACAACUUGUUGACUAUGAUUUGUCUUGUAGCUUACUCGCUUAUGUUAUUUUACCUACGCUUAGGAUGUUGAAGAUGUAGCACAUCAU